CCCUUAGAUGUCCUGGGCCGCACGCGCGUUACACUGAUGCAUUCAACGAGCUUAUAACCUUGGCCGAGAGGCCUGGGCAAUCUUGUUAACGUGCAUCGUGAUAGGGAUAGAUUAUUGCAAUUUUUAAUCUUGAACGAGGAAUUCCUAGUAAACGCAAAUCAUCAAUUUGCAUUGAUUACGUCCCUGCCCUUUGUACACACCGCCCGUCGCACCUACCGAUUGAAUGGUCCGGUGAAGCCUCGGGAUUGUGGCCAGUUCACUUUAUUGGGAGUUGGCUGUGAGAACUUGUCUAAACCUUAUCAUUUAGAGGAAGGUGAAGUCGUAACA
RNAcentral lists this ribosomal RNA (327 nucleotides) under uncultured eukaryote. RNAcentral describes it as "partial 18S ribosomal RNA". It matches the Rfam family "Eukaryotic small subunit ribosomal RNA", at positions 1470 to 1796 of the family's 1831-position model. The record is from RNAcentral.